ACGGGUUGUUGCUGGUCCUCAACGGGAGUGUGCAUACUCNGUUUACGCAUCGACUCACAUGUGCACCCUCCGUAGUUCUGUGGUCUGGGGGACCCUGUCUUCCUGCCGUGGUUCUACGUCUUUACACACACACUGUAAUAAAGUCUUAUGGAAUGUAUGCCGCGUCUAACGCAAUACAAUACAACUUUCAGCAACGGAUCUCUUGGCUCUCGCAUCGAUGAAGAACGCAGCGAAAUGCGAUAAGUAAUGUGAAUUGCAGAAUUCAGUGAAUCAUCGAAUCUUUGAACGCACCUUGCGCCCCUUGGCUAUUCCGAGGGGCAUGCCUGUUUGAGUAUCAUGAACACCUCAACUCUCAUGGUUUGCCGUGAUGAGCUUGGACUCUGGGGGUUUUGCUGGCCUGCGGUCGGCUCCCCUCAAAUGAAUCAGCCUCCCAGUGUUUGGUGGCAUCACGGGUGUGAUAAAUAUCUACGCUCGCAGUUGUCCGCCAGGUAACCUUUGGUAACAAAGGUUCGCUGGAGCUCACAGAUGUCUCUCCUCAGCGAGGACAGCUUUUUGAACGUUCGAUCUCAAAUCAGGUAGGACUACCCGCUGAACUUAAGCAUAUCAAUAAGCGGAGGAAAAGAAACUAACAAGGAUUCCCCUAGUAACUGCGAGUGAAGCGGGAAGAGCUCAAAUUUAAAAUCUGGCGUGCCUCUGGUCGUCCGAGUUGUAGUCUAGAGAAGCGUUUUCCGUGCUGGACCGUGUAC
This 746-nucleotide ribosomal RNA is filed under the name uncultured Tomentella. Its description in RNAcentral is "eukaryotic LSU rRNA". The stretch from base 183 to 337 matches the Rfam family "5.8S ribosomal RNA". Lineage: Eukaryota; Fungi; Basidiomycota; Agaricomycetes; Thelephorales; Thelephoraceae. The record is from RNAcentral.